This 75-nucleotide ribosomal RNA is filed under the name Arachis hypogaea (peanut). Its description in RNAcentral is "partial large subunit ribosomal RNA". The record is from RNAcentral. Lineage: Eukaryota; Viridiplantae; Streptophyta; Magnoliopsida; Fabales; Fabaceae.
AUCGUCCCGAACGCGACCUCAGGUCAGGCGGGGCUACCCGCUGAGUUUAAGCAUAUCAAUAAGCCGGGAGGAAAG